UGCAUGCAAGUCGAACGGGCGGACCCCUUCGGGGGCGAGCUAGUGGCAGACGGCUGAGUAACGCGUAAGCAACCUACCCACUGGGGGGGGACAACCCGGAGAAAUCCGGGCUAAUACCGCAUGUGAUUGCCGGCCGAUAGCGGGUAAUCAAAGGCUUCGGCCACCAGUGGAUGGGCUUGCGUCCCAUCAGGUAGUUGGUGAGGUAACGGCCCACCAAGCCUACGACGGGUAGCCGGUGUGAGAGCACGACCGGCCAGAGGGGGACUGAGACACGGCCCCCACUCCUACGGGAGGCAGCAGCAGGGAAUCUUGCGCAAUGGGCGAAAGCCUGACGCAGCGACCCCGCGUGAGGGAAGAAGGCCUGCGGGUCGUAAACCUCUUUUCUCGGGGAAGAUAGUGACGGUACCCGAGGAAUAAGCCUCGGCUAACUACGUGCCAGCAGCCGCGGUAAUACGUAGGAGGCUAGCGUUGUCCGGAUUCAUCGGGCGUAAAGGGAGCGCAGGUGGCUGAGUUCGUCCGUGGUGCAAUCUCCAGGCUCAACUUGGAGAGGUCUGCGGAUACUGCUCGGCUUGAGGACGGUAGAGGAGCACGGAAUUCCUGGUGUAGUGGUGAAAUGCGUAUAUAUCAGAGAGGAACACCCGUGGCGAAAGCGGUGCUCUGGGCCGAUCCUGACACUCAGGCUCGAAAGCGUGGGGAGCAAACCGGAUUAUAUACCCGGGUAGUCCACGCCCUAAACGAUGAGUGCUGGGUAUGGGGGGUAUCGACCCCCUCCGUGCCGAAGCUCACGCGUUAAGCACUCCGCCUGGGAGACUACGGCCGCAAGGCUAAAACUCAAAGGUAUUGACGGGGGCCCGCACAAGCAGCGGAGCGUGUGGUUUUAUUCGAUGCAAAGCGAAGAAUCUUACCAGGGUC
RNAcentral lists this ribosomal RNA (912 nucleotides) under uncultured bacterium. Its description in RNAcentral is "bacterial SSU rRNA". It matches the Rfam family "Bacterial small subunit ribosomal RNA", at positions 52 to 981 of the family's 1533-position model. The record is from RNAcentral.